CACUUCUUCAGUUGCCAAAAACAGGGAGAAGGAAACCGACCGACAGAAGAACAAAAUUUCCAUGCGAAAGGGAAAGGGAAAUCGAACCAAUUAGGAUCCAAAUCGCCUUUCCCGCUUCGGAACGCUCGGUUCGCGAGAUCUAUCAAGCUCGGAUAAAGCCUCGCCGCCGCGGCGCCGGGAAUCGUAUGAUCGACUCGGACGUUGUUGAUUUCGCCAUCUUCAUUUGCAUUUGCGCGAGUUAGCUGGACGAAAGCUCGACUCCACGCGCACGCGGCGAUUUAGCUAGAAUCGUGGUGCGCAGAGAGAGCCUCCGAUUUCUCGAGCCGGGGGCGAAGACGGUGAAUCCUGGCGCCGCGUUGCUGAAUUAUUGUGAUGGGGGAUUGCGACAGCUUGCGAGCGUGAUUCGGCAGGUUAGGAACAAUGGCCGUGGACGAGGACAGCGACGAGCUAGCCGUUAGCCGAAAGGAGGAGUUUGCGAUUGCUGAAACCACGAGGGAGAGGAGAUAGUUCGUUGUUGUGAUUCGGGAAGGGUUUUGCGAAAAUGGGUCUGGAUAAGCACGGCAGUGAGAUGUUUAUCGAGAGAAGGGGUGUGAUUGGCGCGUUCCUGCAUUGGUUGAGGCGAGGCAGGGAUCGACUCCGAGCUGCUCGUCGAGGGAGGAGGACUAAUAAGCAGAGAUUCUCGCGCUUGGCGUUUCUGUUGGCCGCUAUCUUCCUGUUUUGCGUGGUGGCAUUAGGCCUGAACAUGUUCCUGCACGGAAAGAUGGAAGGCAGAGCUUCAUCUACCCUGGCAGUAAAAGUGGCAGACACAGCAAAAGGAGCAGACACAGUAAAAGAAGUAAACUCAGUACAGGAAGCAAGCAUAGUGUCUGGUGUUGGAAAAAAACCAACAACCAAGCAUCGCAAGCGGCAUCUUCCUUGUGAAAUAACUUUAUCAGACUCAGUCAAGAAUCUAGUUGAACCCAGCAGUUUCAUCAAUUUCACGCAGUUUUCACUGCAUUACAUUGAAAAGGAGGAACAUUCCAUCCCUAGAUUUGGCGGACAUCAGAACCUUGGUGAAAGAGAGAAAUCCUUUCAUGCAAGAAGCCAAAAACUUCAUUGUGGUUUUGUCAAGGGGCCAGCAAGAUUCCCGAGCACUGGAUUCGAUUUGGACGAAAAGGACAAAUUAUAUAUGAACACAUGUAAAGUUGUAGUGUCUUCUUGCAUUUUCGGAAGUUCUGAUUUUCUGAGGCGGCCAACAAGCAAGCGGAUCACUGAGUAUUCCAAGAAAAAUGUCUGCUUUGUUAUGUUUGUGGAUGAGGAGACACUAGCAACUCUGUCAUCAGAAGGGAAUAUUCCUGAUGAUACAGGUCAUAUUGGGCUAUGGAAAAUAGUUGUCGUCAAGAACCUACCAUACAAAGACAUGCGUCGAACUGGUAAAGUGCCAAAACUCCUGUCUCAUCGGCUCUUCCCUUCUUCCAGGUAUUCAAUAUGGCUUGACAGCAAAAUGCGUCUGUACACUGAUCCAAUGCUUAUCAUCGAGUACUUUUUGUGGCGAACGAGGUCAGAGUUUGCCAUUUCAAACCACUAUGAUCGUCAUUGUGUCUGGGAGGAGGUACUCCAAAACAAACGCCUGAACAAGUACAAUCACACAGCCAUUGAUGAACAGUUUCUGGUUUACCAGUCUGAUGGCCUCACCAAGUUUGAUCCUGCUGACCCAAAUACUCCUCUUCCUAGUUAUGUGCCUGAAGGCUCCUUCAUUGUGCGGGCCCAUACACCAAUGUCAAACUUAUUUUCAUGUCUUUGGUUCAAUGAGGUUGAUCGAUUCACGUCACGUGAUCAACUAAGCUUUGCAUACACUUACCUCAAAUUGAGGAGAUUAAAUCCCGACAGACAGUUCCGUUUACAUAUGUUCAAGGAUUGUGAGCGCAGAGCGAUAGCAAAGCUAUUCCAUCACAGGGAGCUUCCCGUUCCAGCUUCACCUUGAGUUUCUUUGGUGUUUCUACCUGGUCUACCAAAUGGUACCUGGCUCAUCGCCCUAUUUUGAAUUUGUGGUUGGAUGAAGAUACACUCAUCAUUCUAGACUGAAUCAUCAAAUUAGGAAUUGAUUUCAAAGUCAAUAUGUAGGUUCACCAAGGGAUCUCCAAAAUCUUGUCUGCUUCUGCAGGAAAUAUUGGAUCCUUGUAGUCAGAUCUACAUAAGUGCUCUCGGGUGAUCUUGAGACAGGAAGAAAUUAGUGGACCUCCUUCACUUGCUCAGAUCAAAUGUAUUGCGGUAUGUAAGCUGUCGAGAGUGAGCAAGGCUAGGUGACUUGAGAGUGAAUCUCCCGUUGAAGGUGGGUUUACUUAUGAAUCGUCAUAUGAGUCGGUUCGCUGAUUAGACGAAACGGCUGCCCUUUGAAGUGAACAGGAUGGCUUUUUUAUUUUUUCUUCUAUUUCCCGGAGAGGGAAAAGCUCAUUUUAGUUCAGCUUCUUGUCUCUCCCUUGGUAAGUAGAAGACUAUACUGUCUUGAUAAUCUUCUUAGUAGCAACAGUGAAAAGGCCAUUUUACGGCUAUGAUUUUGUCAUUCUUUUUUCGAUUUUGUCAUUCUUAAGACACAGACGAGUAUGUGCUU
RNA transcript from Rhodamnia argentea, 2590 nucleotides. It is a transcript of the gene named probable hexosyltransferase MUCI70, with no coding region annotated. The transcript has 9 exons. NCBI's taxonomy places the organism in Eukaryota, Viridiplantae, Streptophyta, Magnoliopsida, Myrtales, Myrtaceae. The record is from RefSeq and is a predicted model, not a curated record.